RNAcentral lists this ribosomal RNA (454 nucleotides) under uncultured Rikenella sp. Its description in RNAcentral is "partial 16S ribosomal RNA". It matches the Rfam family "Bacterial small subunit ribosomal RNA", at positions 341 to 792 of the family's 1533-position model. The record is from RNAcentral. Lineage: Bacteria; Pseudomonadati; Bacteroidota; Bacteroidia; Bacteroidales; Rikenellaceae.
ACGGAAGGCAGCAGUGAGGAGUAUUGGUCAAUGGGCGGAAGCCUGAACCAGCCAUGCCGCGUGCAGGAAGACGGCCCUAUGGGUUGUAAACUGCUUUUGUAGUGGGGCAAUAAGGUGUACGUGUACACCGAUGAGAGUACAUUACGAAUAAGCAUCGGCUAACUCCGUGCCAGCAGCCGCGGUAAUACGGAGGAUGCGAGCGUUAUCCGGAUUUAUUGGGUUUAAAGGGUGCGUAGGCUGUUUGUCAAGUCAGAGGUGAAAGCCCGGGGCUUAACUCCGGAACUGCCUUUGAUACUGGCAGGCUUGAAUACUGUUGCCGUGGGAGGAAUGAGUAGUGUAGCGGUGAAAUGCAUAGAUAUUACUCAGAACACCGAUUGCGAAGGCAUCUCACGAAGCAGCGAUUGACGCUGAGGCACGAAAGCGUGGGGAUCAAACAGGAUUAGAUACCCUGGUA